This 393-nucleotide ribosomal RNA is filed under the name uncultured Alphaproteobacteria bacterium. RNAcentral describes it as "bacterial SSU rRNA". It matches the Rfam family "Bacterial small subunit ribosomal RNA", at positions 29 to 437 of the family's 1533-position model. Lineage: Bacteria; Pseudomonadati; Pseudomonadota; Alphaproteobacteria. The record is from RNAcentral.
AACGAACGCUGGCGGCAGGCUUAACACAUGCAAGUCGAACGAGAAGCUUUCCUUCGGGGAAGUGGAAAGUGGCAGACGGGUGAGUAACGCGUGGGAACGUGCCUUUCGGUUCGGGAUAACUCAGGGAAACUUGGGCUAAUACCGAAUACGCCCUCCGGGGAAAGGAUUAUCGCCGAAAGAUCGGCCCGCGUCGGAUUAGCUUGUUGGUGAGGUAAAAGCUCACCAAGGCGACGAUCCGUAGCUGGUCUGAGAGGAUGAUCAGCCACACUGGGACUGAGACACGGCCCAGACUCCUACGGGAGGCAGCAGUGGGGAAUAUUGGACAAUGGGCGGCAAGCCUGAUCCAGCCAUGCCGCGUGGGUGAAGAAGGCCUUAGGGUUGUAAACCCCUUUC